GAUGAAGAACGCAGCGAAAUGCGAUAAGUAAUGUGAAUUGCAGAAUUCAGUGAACCAUCGAAUCUUUGAACGCACAUUGCGCCCGGCAGUAAUCUGCCGGGCAUGCCUGUCCGAGCGUCAUUUCUGCCCUCGAGCGAGUCCAGCAUCUAGGUGCUGGGCCCGCCCGGCGUUGGGGCACUACGGGAAGCCCUGUGCUGUCCCCCGUAGGCCCCGAAAUGAAGUGGCGGUCCUGCCGCGGCGCCCCCUGCGUAGUAUAACACCUCGCUUCGGGACCCGGUGGAGGCCUGCCGUCAAACCUUACUCUCUAAGUUUGACCUCGGAUCAGGUAGGGUUACCCGCUGAACUUAAGCAUAUCAAUAAGCGGAGGA
RNAcentral lists this unclassified non-coding RNA (368 nucleotides) under soil metagenome. RNAcentral's name for it is "partial contains 5.8S ribosomal RNA, internal transcribed spacer 2, and large subunit ribosomal RNA". The stretch from base 1 to 120 matches the Rfam family "5.8S ribosomal RNA", at positions 35 to 154 of the family's 154-position model. The record is from RNAcentral.